CCCUAACUUUGAACAUACCAACUGAGUAGCCUCAGACUAUAAAUUGAACAACUUCAGAUCUAUCGAAAAUAAAAAAUCUUGUCAAACAGAAAAUGUGUUUAUUAUUAACAUAGAAAAAAAAAUGACAAGGAAAACAGUUCUUUUUGGAUAUCAAAGACUUUUCCCGUUGGUAAAUCGAUAUCUAUAUGAACAUAAUCAGCUCGCCGCAUGGACGCUCUUUUACAUCGCGGUGACCGUGAGGGCAUUCCGAUGUAUUGUUGCCAUAGAGAAUUGACUUUCGUUUUUGACUAGUAACCGAUCGUAUAAAUACGCGAACAUUUCUUAGUGCAAAAUAACAAUCCGUAUCUUUUCUAUAUUUAUAAAUUUAGUUCGUUCAGUGCUGUUUAUUUGGUAAUUUUAUUGACGUAAUCAUUCUUGUACCAUCAUAACUGUCGUUCCCGUUAAAGCUUUAGAAGUGUGCUAGUUCAUAUUGCACUUUACAAAAGAUUCAGCACCCAAAUGACGUUUUUGGAGGACUGGAAAGCAGUUAUUUAUAAGGGGAAAUUUAAAGAUUUAUAGAUAUAAGAAGAUGGUGCAUGAGUUCGAAUGUGACAACUUUCCAUCAAAGCAAUAAUUUGUUUCAAGUGAACCAUUAUAGAUCAAAGUAGGGCCUUAUACACGGAGCCUUGGCUCACAGCGAACACCACGCUAUAUAUAGAAACAAAUAAAAUACUACUGUUAAACCAUUCAAACAGAAAAACCAACGGUCUAAUUUGUAUAAAAAAGGGAGAUUCAAAAGUACAGGUCAGAUUUUGUCGAAUCCAUCUGAACGAGGACAGUAUGAUUCAUCUUUGUCAAAAGUUAGUUUCAUUGUUAUCAAUAAAGAAAGUGUUCCAUGCGUGCGUUGCGAGCAUAUAAGAUAUACAUUAUUCUGUGCGUUCAUUAUAAAAUUUGCUAAAUGUUAUGUAUGUGAACAAUAAUUUUGAUACUUAGCUAUUUGAUUACGACAUUGUUUAUUAAACCCUAUCGGUACUGGCAUUUUCAAAUUUAAAAAAUGGUGAAUUGAACCUGGUUAUAGAGCGCUUAACCUCUCACGUGUAUGACAGUCUCAUCAAAUUCUGUCAUAUUUACAACAAUGCGUGAACAAAACAGACAUAAUAGGUAAAAUUGUCAAAAUUUGGGUACAGCAGUCAAAUAUUAAUACAAAUAAGUACUAAUAUUGAUAUUAGAAAAACACUGCUAUGAUAUUUUAAAAGUAUCGCAUUGAUAUUAGAA
RNAcentral lists this long non-coding RNA (1254 nucleotides) under Mytilus galloprovincialis (Mediterranean mussel). The record is from RNAcentral. Lineage: Eukaryota; Metazoa; Mollusca; Bivalvia; Mytilida; Mytilidae.